UUCCAUUACUCCAACGAGACAAAUAUCUAACCUCCCUGUCAUUUCCAAAGUGAAAAUUUUUCUCGGUAUAAUCAGCUGAUCCAUCAAACGAUUUAUUGUUCGCAAUGGGUUCGAUUUCGAGGGUCGUUGGAAUUCCAUUCGUUUUUCUCGCUUUCGGUGCUAUCGUCUGGCGGUGGAAUUAUCUUCGUAGCCCAGAAUGGUGGCAAGAGCAUCAUGAACAAAUGAAAGCCCAGAAGCAAAAUAAAACUUAGAAACAAUGAAUUCUUCUCCCUCUCCUUUCAAAGUAGUUCAAAAUCAUGAAAUCCUACUUUUAUUGUUAUCUUAUCUAGAAUCAAUGUUCCUUUUCACAAAUAUUUGGCAGUUUUCAUUUAUAAUGGAAGAAAGAAAAAUAAAAAAUGGUAUUGACUAGGAA
This is a long non-coding RNA of Diachasma alloeum, 412 nucleotides long. RefSeq lists it as uncharacterized. The transcript has 3 exons. Lineage: Eukaryota; Metazoa; Arthropoda; Insecta; Hymenoptera; Braconidae. The record is from RefSeq and is a predicted model, not a curated record.